AAUAUUGGACAAUGGGGGCAACCCUGAUCCAGCCAUGCCGCGUGGAGGAAGACGGCCUUUGGGUUGUAAACUCCUUUUAUAUGAGACUAAUAAGGUGGUAUACUCACCGAUGCAGGUACCAUAUGAAUAAGCACCGGCUAACUACGUGCCAGCAGCCGCGGUAAUACGUAGGGUGCAAGCGUUGUCCGGAUUUAUUGGGUUUAAAAGGUGCGUAGGCGGUUUAUUAAGUCAGUGGUUAAAUACUGAGGCUCAACCUUGGUCCGCCAUUGAUACUGGUAAACUUGAGUAUGUUAGAGGAAAUUGGAAUGUGUGGUGUAGCGGUGAAAUGCAUAGAUAUCACACAGAACACCGAUUGCGAAGGCAGAUUUCUAUAACACAACUGACGCUGAGGCACGAAAGCGUGGGGAGCGAACAGGAUUAGAUACCCUGGUAGUCCACGCUGUA
RNAcentral lists this ribosomal RNA (444 nucleotides) under uncultured marine bacterium. RNAcentral's name for it is "bacterial SSU rRNA". It matches the Rfam family "Bacterial small subunit ribosomal RNA", at positions 360 to 804 of the family's 1533-position model. The record is from RNAcentral.